UGAACAGCAACUUUAGAUAAGAAAAUCGGCUUGAGACCUCCUCAUACACGUUUAUUACUGUACUUACACUCAGAAGUCGUCGGAACAGUGAGUAAGAGAAUCUGAAUAAGCCCUGUAGGAAAUUCGGGAAUCCAAGACUCAGAGACAAAUACAGCUGCAAUGAAUCUGCAAAUCACAGUCUUAGUAACCUUGGCAAUUUACGGCACGCUGCUAAGCAACAGUUGCGUGGCAACACAAGACUUGUCCCAGAGCGAAGAAGAUAUUCUCUCACAAAUCUUACAAGCGUGUCAACAGAUCUGCAGUAACAGUGUCGUCUGCCCCCGCACGUGUCCGCAGAGUUUUCUAAAUCCUUGGAGACGCCGCCGCGACAUCAACGCAAAAUUUGCUCCAAUGGCCAAAAUAGUAAGAGAUUCUGAACCUUCUAUGGCAAAGCUAGAGCUUCUGCUCAACAAACUACAGCGGCAUCUUGUGCGGAAAUAACGUGUUGCCUGGAUUAAACUACGGGAUAAUCUGUGACGAAAUAUGGUGUAACAAACAACCUACAUCAAAUAUUGCUAACAUUUGACCCUGACCUCAAGAAAGAGUGUCAAGGCGACCUCAAAGUUGAAGACAAAUCAAUGACUGGGCAAUACCUUCCACCUUUAAAGCCAAAACGGGCAUGGAUUAGGCAUAUCGGCAUGCCGAGCUGGUCCGCUCCUAAAUACUGUCUCUGUUAAUCAAGUUGCAUAAUUAUGUGUUUGGUGAAAAUCAUUGAGAAAAAUCGUAGUCAAUAUACAACUACAGGUCGACGUUCUUAAAAAGUCCUAACUUAAUUCAUCACUUAAUGGGAAGCGUGGUCCCUUCCGUCACUAUCUAAUGAAGGUUGUCGCACCUGUAUGUAUAUGGAGUUAUAAAUAUGUGUCGCUGGGAAGAAAGUCGAUAUUGAGAAAAAAAGAACACUCACAGUAGAACGAUCUGAAUUACUGAGAUUAACCACGUCACCUUCGGAUGUUAAUCAAGCUUUUCGCAAGAUUCGAGGAACGGAAUCGUCUCUUUGCUCUGAGUUUUUUAACUAUGACUUAGCGUACGCCAAAGACAUUUUCAUUGUCAUUCCUGUUAUUUUCUCAUUUUCUUCACACUUUCAUUUUAUGUUUAUAUUUCACGUCCUUUAUUUAAACUAAUGUAGUUUUAUUUGAAUGUCACAGGCAUUUAAGUCAGAAUAUGUAAUGUCAUAUUUAUACAGUUCAUACUUCACUGUCUAGAAUAUGUAUAUAUAGCUCACAAAACUGUCUGAGGCGAUGGGCUUAUUGAAGGUGUUUGCACUAAAACAGUAACUUCUACAGUAAUAGAUUUCUUCAAAUUCUUUGUAGAACUUCAGCUAUUUUAAUAAAGCAUAUCU
Lingula anatina is the source of this 1378-nucleotide long non-coding RNA. The record is from RefSeq and is a predicted model, not a curated record. Lineage: Eukaryota; Metazoa; Brachiopoda; Lingulata; Lingulida; Lingulidae.